UCGAGAAUCUUCGGCAAUGGGCGAAAGCCUGACCGAGCGACGCCGCGUGCGGGAUGAAGGCCUUCGGGUUGUAAACCGCUGUCAGUUGGGAGGAAGGCGCUGUGAAGAGCAGCGUUUGACCGAUCUUCAGAGGAAGGACGGGCUAAGUUCGUGCCAGCAGCCGCGGUAAGACGAACCGUCCGAACGUUAUUCGGUAUCACUGGGCUUAAAGAGUUCGUAGGCGGCCUAGCAGGUGAGGUGUGAAAUCCAACGGCUCAACCGUUGAAUUGCGCUUCAAACCACUAGGCUCGAGGAUGGCAGGGGUGUUGGGAACUGAUGGUGGAGCGGUGAAAUGCGUUGAUAUCAUCAGGAACACCGGUGGCGAAGGCGCAACACUGGGCCAUAUCUGACGCUGAGGAAC
This 400-nucleotide ribosomal RNA is filed under the name uncultured bacterium. Its description in RNAcentral is "bacterial SSU rRNA". It matches the Rfam family "Bacterial small subunit ribosomal RNA", at positions 355 to 754 of the family's 1533-position model. The record is from RNAcentral.